UGAAUACGAGACGCUAAGGCGUCGAAGUAGUGUAUGUCAUACUUCCAAGAAAAGCUUGCACUGUCAUAGAUAAAAAACGCCUGUACCAUAACCGACACAGGUGGGUAGGUAGAGUAUACUAAGGGGCGCGAGAUAACUCUCUCUAAGGAACUCGGCAAAAUAACUCCGUAACUGCGGGAGAAGGAGUGCCUUAUUCGUAAGGUUGCAAUAACAAGAUCCAAGCAACUGUUUAUCAAAAACACAGGUCUCCGCUAAGUCGUAAGACGAUGUAUGGGGGCUGACGCCUGCCCAGUGCCGGAAGGUUAAAGAAGUUGGUUAGCAAUUGCGAAGCUGAUAACUGAAGCCCUGGUGAACGGCGGCCGUAACAAUAACGGUCCUAAGGUAGCGAAAUUCCUUGUCGGGUAAGUUCCGACCCGCACGAAAGGCGUAAUGAUUUGGAUACUGUCUCGGAGAGGGGCUCGGUGAAAUAGACUUGUCUGUGAAGAUGCGGACUACCUGCACCAGGACAGAAAGACCCUAUGAAGCUUUACUGUAACUUGAAAUUGAAAUUGGACUUUAUUCGCGCAGCAUAGGUGGGAGGCGUUGAUUAUAAUCUUGCGGGAUUAUUGGAGCCAUCAGUGAGAUACCACUCUUGUAAUGUUAGAUUUCUAACUUUGAAUCAUUAUCUGGUCAAAGAACAGUUCCAGGCGGGCAGUUUGACUGGGGCGGUCGCCUCCUAAACGGUAACGGAGGCGUACAAAGGUUUCCUCUGAACGGUUAGAAAUCGUAUCUAGAGUGUAAAGGCAUAAGGAAGCUUGACUGUGAGACCUACAAGUCGAGCAGGGACGAAAGUCGGUCUUAGUGAUCUGACGGUACUGAGUGGAAAGGCCGUCACUCAACGGAUAAAAGUUACUCUAAGGAUAACAGGCUGAUCUCCCCCAAGAGUUCACAUCGACGGGGAGGUUUGGCACCUCGAUGUCGGCUCAUCGCAUCCUGGGGCGGUAGUACGUCCCAAGGGUUGGGCUGUUCGCCCAUGAAAGCGGUACGCGAGCUGGGUUCAGAACGUCGUGAGACAGUUCGGUCCAUAUCCGGUGUAGGCGUUAGAAUAUUGAGAGGAGCCUUCUUUAGUACGAGAGGACCGAGAAGGACAUACCUCUGGUGUACCAGUUAUCGUGCCAACGGUAAACGCUGGGUAGCUAUGUAUGGAGUGGAUAACCGCUGAAAGCAUCUAAGUGGGAAGCCCACCUCAAGAUAAGUAUUCUC
This 1242-nucleotide ribosomal RNA is filed under the name metagenome. RNAcentral describes it as "bacterial LSU rRNA". It matches the Rfam family "Bacterial large subunit ribosomal RNA", at positions 1564 to 2815 of the family's 2925-position model. The record is from RNAcentral.